ACCAGACUCCUACGGGAGGCAGCAGUGGGGAAUAUUGCACAAUGGGGGGAACCCUGAUGCAGCGACGCCGCGUGAGUGGAGAAGUAUUUCGGUAUGUAAAGCUCUAUCAGCAGGGAAGAAAAUGACGGUACCUGACUAAGAAGCCCCGGCUAACUACGUGCCAGCAGCCGCGGUAAUACGUAGGGGGCAAGCGUUAUCCGGAUUUACUGGGUGUAAAGGGAGCGCAGACGGCUGUGCAAGUCUGGAGUGAAAGGCGGGGGCCCAACCCCCGGACUGCUCUGGAAACUGUAAAGCUGGAGUGCAGGAGAGGUAAGCGGAAUUCCUAGUGUAGCGGUGAAAUGCGUAGAUAUUAGGAGGAGCACCAGUGGCGAAGGCGGCUUACUGGACUGUAACUGACGUUGAGGCUCGAAAGCGUGGGGAGCAAACAGGAUUAGAUACCCUCGUAAAA
RNAcentral lists this ribosomal RNA (448 nucleotides) under uncultured bacterium. Its description in RNAcentral is "bacterial SSU rRNA". It matches the Rfam family "Bacterial small subunit ribosomal RNA", at positions 330 to 793 of the family's 1533-position model. The record is from RNAcentral.